Molecule: ribosomal RNA, 478 nt
Filed under: uncultured bacterium
Lineage: Bacteria
Description: partial 16S ribosomal RNA
Rfam family: Bacterial small subunit ribosomal RNA
Source: RNAcentral
GACGAACACUGGCGGCGUGCUUAACACAUGCAAGUCGAACGGUAAGGCCCUUCGGGGUACACGAGUGGCGAACGGGUGAGUAACACGUGGGUGAUCUGCCCUGCACUUCGGGAUAAGCCUGGGAAACUGGGUCUAAUACCGGAUAGGACUCCGGACUGCAUGGUCUGGGGUGGAAAGCUUUUGCGGUGUGGGAUGGGCCCGCGGCCUAUCAGCUUGUUGGUGGGGUGAUGGCCUACCAAGGCGACGACGGGUAGCCGGCCUGAGAGGGGGACCGGCCACACUGGGACUGUGAUACGGCCCAGACUCCUACGGGAGGCAGCAGUGGGGAAUAUUGCACAAUGGGCGCAAGCCUGAUGCAGCGACGCCGCGUGAGGGAUGACGGCCUUCGGGUUGUAAACCUCUUUCAGCAUCGACGAAGCGAAAGUGACGGUAGGUGCAGAAGAAGGACCGGCCAACUACGUGCCAGCCGCCGCCGUAA